Arachis ipaensis is the source of this 701-nucleotide non-coding RNA. The record is from RefSeq and is a predicted model, not a curated record. NCBI's taxonomy places the organism in Eukaryota, Viridiplantae, Streptophyta, Magnoliopsida, Fabales, Fabaceae.
UGUAUAUUGUCCUUGUUGGGGUGUAUAUCCUCACAAUUGUUCUGUAACACUGCAGCACUCCAGAACCACCGCCAAAAACUGAACAAAGCACACCCACGCUUCCACCAGCUCCAUUUAAAGUCCCCAGAAGAUGCUGUUGCACCGAUGAUGAUAGCACGGACAGCAUCGUACAUUCCUAAACAAGGUCCGAUGCCAUCAUUCAGCCUCGACUUGACUGAUUCAAGCCAAGAAGAAGCAACAACGCAAGAGAGUGCAGCAAUGCAAGAGGGGGACAGAGGGCGAAAACUCCUGAAACGCCAAAACUAAUAGAACAGUUAGGGAAGCUGGUGGGAAAAAUUGCAGGCAGUGGGGUGAAAACAGAAGGUAAAACUCCACCUAUUCAUAAGCAAAGUGGUGAAGAAAGUUUUGAAAAGUUUGAAACUCCUGCGAGGACAAAUGAAAUGAGUGCUGAAAUGAAAGAGAAAUGCUACAUCUGGGCCACACAUGUGAAAACAUACACAGAUGGAAAUACUAAUGAGUAUGACACCGUGUGCACACUCAAUGCCCAAGAUAAACACAUUAUCUCAAAAAUUCACUUCGCAUCUCUCCAAGCUGAUACACAUAUAGAAGCUGAGAUUGUCUUUGCCAUAUACCUCAUCCUUAACCAGCAAAACAUUAAAAUGUUUCAAGAAGAAAUAUACUGUUUCUCCCCUGAUAUUGUG